Molecule: ribosomal RNA, 849 nt
Filed under: Alternaria alternata
Lineage: Eukaryota; Fungi; Ascomycota; Dothideomycetes; Pleosporales; Pleosporaceae
Description: eukaryotic LSU rRNA
Rfam family: Eukaryotic large subunit ribosomal RNA
Source: RNAcentral
CAACAGGGAUUGCCCUAGUAACGGCGAGUGAAGCGGCAACAGCUCAAAUUUGAAAUCUGGCUCUUUUAGAGUCCGAGUUGUAAUUUGCAGAGGGCGCUUUGGCUUUGGCAGCGGUCCAAGUUCCUUGGAACAGGACGUCACAGAGGGUGAGAAUCCCGUACGUGGUCGCUGGCUAUUGCCGUGUAAAGCCCCUUCGACGAGUCGAGUUGUUUGGGAAUGCAGCUCUAAAUGGGAGGUACAUUUCUUCUAAAGCUAAAUAUUGGCCAGAGACCGAUAGCGCACAAGUAGAGUGAUCGAAAGAUGAAAAGCACUUUGGAAAGAGAGUCAAACAGCACGUGAAAUUGUUGAAAGGGAAGCGCUUGCAGCCAGACUUGCUUACAGUUGCUCAUCCGGGUUUCUACCCGGUGCACUCUUCUGUAGGCAGGCCAGCAUCAGUUUGGGCGGUAGGAUAAAGGUCUCUGUCACGUACCUCCUUUCGGGGAGGCCUUAUAGGGGAGACGACAUACUACCAGCCUGGACUGAGGUCCGCGCAUCUGCUAGGAUGCUGGCGUAAUGGCUGUAAGCGGCCCGUCUUGAAACACGGACCAAGGAGUCUAACAUCUAUGCGAGUGUUUGGGUGUCAAGCCCGAGCGCGUAAUGAAAGUGAACGGAGGUGGGAACCCGCAAGGGUGCACCAUCGACCGAUCCUGAUGUCUUCGGAAGGAUUUGAGUAAGAGCAUGGCUGUUGGGACCCGAAAGAUGGUGAACUAUGCUUGAAUAGGGUGAAGCCAGAGGAAACUCUGGUGGAGGCUCGCAGCGGUUCUGACGUGCAAAUCGAUCGUCAAAUUUGGGCAUAGGGGCGAAAGACUA